GCGAGGCAGAGUGAAGUACAGUGAAGGGAGAGUGAGGCAGAGAGUAAUACAGCGAGGCAGAGUGAAGUACAGCGAGGCAGAGAGUAAUACAGCGAGGCAGAGUGAAGUACAGCGAGGCAGAGAGUAAUACAGCGAGGCAGAGAGUAAUACAGCGAGGCAGAGAGUAAUACAGCGAGGCAGAGAGUAAUACAGCGUAUAUUUUAAUAGCAGAUUUUAUAGUUCACUUUAGCCUAGUGCACACUACAUGAGUUCCCCCUCCAUAACAAAAUCGCUGAGCGUUACCAUGGCAACCGCUAGUGCUGUGUGACGGGUUCAGCAUCGCGAUGCGCAGUUUGUUGAAGACACCCGGAUGUUUUGUUUAAUGCACGUUCAACCUCCCCGUGACGAAUCGUGUAGCGCGGGCCCCUGUACCCCGAGCCGCGGGAACAGUGCAGCAGAUCCCUAACCCAGUGUGACGUGUACACAACAACGGCACUUCUAGAAGAACCCAGACCGCCGCUAUACCUCCAGUUCUCUUCGCAGAACAGACAAGUCUCCCGCACCCAUCCUUCCUGCACCCUCGUUUCUGGUGUUCGGCGUACUCCCCUUCACACCCGGACGGAGACCCACGCUUUCUGGAGGACCGGAGUUCAGCUGUGAAGCUCCAUUUCCUCCUGCUGCUUCACAAGGAAGGAGUUCUGCAUCAACGUCUGAGCCUGGCACAAAGGUUCAGCACGCCACACUGCUACAUGACAUCACUACACAAACCUCGUCGCGUACUCAAACCCCGGCGCAGGACAAGUCGUUCACAGCCCAGCCUGCGCGAUACGGAAACCGAACCAGCAAACUUUACACGACCUCGCCUCAUCGAGAACUCACAGCGACACGCUCACUUACGGACUCCAAAGUGCAGCAUCAGCAUAAUCCCCGUGACUGAGCACGCUGUAAAACUCUCCCAGUCGAGAUUUGUGGCUUCAUUUGCAUAUUCAAGUCUCCUCUGGCAUCCGUAUCGCAAUAACG
Molecule: long non-coding RNA, 999 nt
Organism: Ictalurus punctatus (channel catfish)
Lineage: Eukaryota; Metazoa; Chordata; Actinopteri; Siluriformes; Ictaluridae
Source: Ensembl